CCUACGGGUGGCAGCAGUGAGGAAUAUUGGUCAAUGGGCGCGAGCCUGAACCAGCCAAGUAGCGUGAAGGAUGACUGCCCUACGGGUUGUAAACUUCUUUUAUAAAGGAAUAAAGUGAGGCACGUGUGCCUUUUUGUAUGUACUUUAUGAAUAAGGUUCGGGUAACUCCUUUCAAGCAGCCGAGGUAAUACGGAGCAUCCGACGGUUAUCCGGAUUUAUUGGGUUUAAAGGGGGCGUAGAUGGGUUGUUAAGUCAGUUGUGAAAGUUUGCGGCUCAACCGUAAAAUUGCAAUUGUUACUGGCAGUCUUGAGUACAGUUGAGGUAGGCGGAAUUCGUGGUGUAGCGGUGAAAUGCUUAGAUAUCACGAAGAACUCCGAUUGCGAAGGCAGCUUACUAAACUGCCACUGACAUUGAUGCUCGAAAGUGUGGGUAUCAAACAGGAUUAGAUACCCGGGUAGUC
Molecule: ribosomal RNA, 460 nt
Filed under: uncultured bacterium
Lineage: Bacteria
Description: partial 16S ribosomal RNA
Rfam family: Bacterial small subunit ribosomal RNA
Source: RNAcentral